This 1470-nucleotide ribosomal RNA is filed under the name metagenome. RNAcentral describes it as "bacterial SSU rRNA". It matches the Rfam family "Bacterial small subunit ribosomal RNA". The record is from RNAcentral.
AGAGUUUGAUCCUGGCUCAGGACGAACGCUGGCGGCACGCUUAACACAUGCAAGUCGAACGAGAGAAGAGGAGCUUGCUUUUCUGAUCUAGUGGCGGACGGGUGAGUAACACGUGAGCAAUCUGCCUUUCAGAGGGGGAUACCGAUUGGAAACGAUCGUUAAUACCGCAUAACAUAAUUGAACCGCAUGAUUUGAUUAUCAAAGAUUUAUCGCUGAAAGAUGAGCUCGCGUCUGAUUAGCUAGUUGGUAAGGUAACGGCUUACCAAGGCGACGAUCAGUAGCCGGACUGAGAGGUUGAUCGGCCACAUUGGGACUGAGACACGGCCCAGACUCCUACGGGAGGCAGCAGUGGGGAAUAUUGCACAAUGGAGGAAACUCUGAUGCAGCGAUGCCGCGUGAGAGAAGAAGGUUUUAGGAUUGUAAACCUCUGUCUUCAGGGACGAAAAAAGACGGUACCUGAGGAGGAAGCUCCGGCUAACUACGUGCCAGCAGCCGCGGUAAUACGUAGGGAGCGAGCGUUGUCCGGAAUUACUGGGUGUAAAGGGAGCGUAGGCGGGAUCGCAAGUCAGAUGUGAAAACUAUGGGCUUAACCCAUAAACUGCAUUUGAAACUGUGGUUCUUGAGUGAAGUAGAGGUAAGCGGAAUUCCUAGUGUAGCGGUGAAAUGCGUAGAUAUUAGGAGGAACGUCAGUGGCGAAGGCGGCUUACUGGGCUUUAACUGACGCUGAGGCUCGAAAGCGUGGGGAGCAAACAGGAUUAGAUACCCUGGUAGUCCACGCCGUAAACGAUGAUUACUAGGUGUGGGGGGACUGACCCCUUCCGUGCCGCAGCAAACGCAAUAAGUAAUCCACCUGGGGAGUACGACCGCAAGGUUGAAACUCAAAGGAAUUGACGGGGGCCCGCACAAGCAGUGGAGUAUGUGGAUUAAUUCGAAGCAACGCGAAGAACCUUACCAGGUCUUGACAUCGUAUGCAUAGCUCAGAGAUGAGUGAAAUCUCUUCGGAGACAUAUAGACAGGUGGUGCAUGGUUGUCGUCAGCUCGUGUCGUGAGAUGUUGGGUUAAGUCCCGCAACGAGCGCAACCCUUACUGUUAGUUGCUACGCAAGAGCACUCUAGCAGGACUGCCGUUGACAAAACGGAGGAAGGUGGGGAUGACGUCAAAUCAUCAUGCCCCUUAUGACCUGGGCCUCACGCGUACUACAAUGGCUGUCAACAGAGGGAAGCAAAGCCGCGAGGUGGAGCGAACCCCUAAAAGCAGUCUUAGUUCGGAUUGUAGGCUGCAACCCGCCUACAUGAAGUCGGAAUUGCUAGUAAUCGCAGAUCAGCAUGCUGCGGUGAAUACGUUCCCGGGCCUUGUACACACCGCCCGUCACGCCACGGGAGUCGGUAACACCCGAAGCCUGUAGUCUAACCGCAAGGAGGACGCAGUCGAAGGUGGGAUUGAUGACUGGGGUGAAGUCGUAACAAGGUA